UUCUAAAAGUAUAUAAAAACUAAAAGUAUAUAAAAAGAGGG
RNAcentral lists this transfer RNA (41 nucleotides) under Eritrichium nanum. RNAcentral describes it as "partial tRNA-His". The record is from RNAcentral. Lineage: Eukaryota; Viridiplantae; Streptophyta; Magnoliopsida; Boraginales; Boraginaceae.